Molecule: non-coding RNA, 4160 nt
Organism: Pelodiscus sinensis (Chinese soft-shelled turtle)
Lineage: Eukaryota; Metazoa; Chordata; Testudines; Trionychidae
Source: RefSeq, a predicted model, not a curated record
UCACGCAACAUCCCCACCCGGCCAGAGCUCAGCGCCUGCUACACCCGCCCAGGCUCGGACAGCUACUGCGCACAGAAACAGGCUGACCGCGUACGGGACAAUCCCUGGACCGCCUGUGUCUCGGGGUGCAGCACGGCCUGAUCGCUGGCUGUACCCGCCUGGCAUUGCUAGAGUGCCCCACUACCUGCUAGGCGCUGGAUUGCUACUCGCUAAAACCCAGGGCACAAUCAGCAUCAAGCGGGCUUUUAAGGGUUCGCUCGGACAUUAGUAGGCUUCCAGGGAAUGAGACUUUUCCCUGUAAUUUCCCUUUGUCGAUGUGCUUUGUCCAAUAGGCAUCUCCCUGCACAGGGUGUGUCCCACCGCCUUUUCUUCAGCAAAGCUGUUAUCUGCAUAAAACAGAAUUCUGUGUACUGCUGCAAAUAACAGUAGAGAUGUGUUGUUGCAUAUAUAUAAUAAAGCAAGCUAUGGAAUUGGAACAACAAACAGAAGGGAAGGCUGGGGAGGAGGACUCAUCGCAUCUUACAAGCAGUUAGAGGAGUCUGGUAUAAUCAGUCUUAUUUGGAGCUGCAGCGAGGGGGAGGAGAUCAAGCCGCCCAUACAAGUGGGUUAGAGAAACCAAAAAUCUGCCCUUCCCUAUUCCCAAGCUACUGGACCUACCAUUAGAAACUGAGGCCAUGUUGAGAAGGGGAAGGAAAAAAAAUGUGGCUGGUCCAAGGGGAAGAAAAGGAAAUCUCCAAAGGAAUUUUCAGCUCCUCCUGCCCAUGCAACAGGGUAAGCAACGUGUAAGAGUAGUGUGGAAUAUGUUAUUCAGGUAAUUUACUGUUCUUAAUAUGCUCUCUUGUAAGCAGUAUAUUAAAGCAACUUAGGGCUCUGAACUGUAAAGAUUUAGAGAAUGCUAAAGGCUUUGGGAAUGGCCUCUGAGGUCAAUUAAAUAUUUAUAGCUUGGAAAUGUUAGAAAUUCUCAAAUUGCAUUUUGACAAAUACCUUUUAUUAAUCCUAUUCAUAAAAAAAAGUGCAGCGAAGGACUGAAAUGGCUAAAGGGAAUGUAUUGUAGGUUGAGUGGUCAUGUGUGCUUGUGGGUUAGUGCAGAUUUGUGUACCCAUAUGGGGAUUUUUCUUUAAAAUGAUUUGAAGGAAGGUUCACUUAGCCAUGUAGAAGUUGUAUAACUAGCAAUUUCCUAACUUUAUAAACAGUUAACUACCAGGCAGUAUUUAACACAUGUAUUUCAUUUAUAUAUAUAUAUAUAUAUAACACAAAUGCCUUUUACAACUUUGUUUUGUUAAUUGCUGAUAUAUUGCCCGCUGUUGUUGAUAGGUAUAUAAUAUUCUUGAAUGUGUGGAGCAUUAAAAUGAAGGUCAAACAUCCAUAUUUGCCUUUGACUGAAAUUACCAUGAUGCUGACUGCUCAGUGGUUUGAACUUUCUCAAGCAGGAAAACGAGUAAGCCUUCUCAGCAUUAAAAGAGACAGCAAACUAAAAGAGGCAUGUUAUAUUAUCGAUCUGUCUAUCUAAUAGUCUGUCUGUGAGUCUGUUUGUUCAAGACUCCUCCUAAAUGGUAAGAGCUAGGACCAAAAAAUUUGGUGUGCAGCUUUCUCUUAUCCUUACUUAAAGUAAGGUCAGGGUCUGGUUAUGGCAAGAAAGUGGGAUGUGCCUGGAGUUUGAUUGUUUUCCAUACGCUCAAAGGAUCAGAAGGAUGCAAUACUGCACAGUCACAACUGGGGACAGUUAUACAUGGGGAAGUGAUCACAGGGGGGGCAGCUGUACAAGGAUGGAAGUGGCCAGCUGGGGGCUGGCAAGAUGGCAAGCCCUGCUAUUGGCCCAGGUAAGUGGCUCCCCCUGCCUCAAACUUUUCCUCCUCUGCUUUGGCACCAGACCUGAGAGGAGGAGCCACUGGCCCGACUGACACACCUCCUCCCCUGGAGCAGUACCAGGGUCAGGCUCCCCUCCCUCCAUCAGGACCCAGAGACACCCACCCUCAGCACCACCAGGCUGCCCAGCAUGGCCCCCACUCCUCCCCUUAGCCCAGAUCUGGGGACCAACAGGAGACCUCCGCAGCCAGGCCAGACCUGGGCAAUAAACACCAGGUAAGUUUUCUAGUAAUAUAUAUAAAUAUAUUAUAGCAUGUAUUGUAUCUUUUUUUUGCAGAAAUAUAUAAAAAAGCAGAAAAGGACAUGCAAAGUUUAUGAAAGAAUUGAAACACUAUCAAGACUCUGAAGCCUGACAAGCUUUCUUAGAAAGAAGAGCAAUUCACAAAUUGAGGACCCUGUGUGGUCCUGUGUACACACUGAAGAUACUUGGUGGUGUGUAGCGUACAUGCUACAUGUAUGGAUGGACUCUUCCUCAUUCAAUGCACAGGAUGGACAAUGCUCAAUGAAUGAAUUAAGAGUAGCAUACAACUUCCUUGUCUGAUUAAAAGGCAAAACCAAAUUCUUUUAGCUGCAGUUGUGACAACUUGAAGUCUUCAUUCACUUGAACAUGGACAUAAAGUUGUGACAAAAAUUCAUAGAAAGCAAUUACACUAUUGAAUAUACUCAAUUAUUAUUGAAAUACACUGUUUAUAAUGGCUUAUAAGUCACUUUACAGAGGUGGGUAUGUCAUUUUACUUUACAUAUUUACCAAUAAAGAAACAGACCUAUUAACUUGACUCAGUACUGAUCAUCUCCAUUCAGAAAAGGGGAGGAAAAUACUGCACCCACAACUUAUACUAUAUAACCCUAACUAAAACAAGUCCUGUGACACUUCAAAGACUAACAGAUUUAUUUGGAUAUAAGCUUUCAUGGGUGAAAAGCACUUUGUUAGAUGGUCUGUUCUAUCUUUGCUCCUAUUAAAAUCAUUGAAUGCAAUGGGAGCCAAGUUAAACCAAUGCUGAGAGCUUUUGAAAAUCUCAUCAUAAAAGUUCCAAAGGAUGGGGUGUUUGAGUUUCACACAAAUUCUAUAUCAGGUAAAUAUAUUGUGCCCACCUAAAUUCACCUUGAAUUUUCAAUUAGAUACUGUGUUUCUCUUCCUGUCCUAAACUGUUAGGUAUUGUUGCUGUGCACCACUAAGUAAUUUCUGUCUUAUGCUUCAAAAGUGGUUGUGUUUCAGUGGCGGUUGAAGAAGUCCCUUUAUAUUCCUUACCUACAUCACAUGGUUCUUGUAAAGCUUAAAUUAAGUAACAAUGGUAAAGAAGUGUGAGUGCAGUUUGUCUGAAUAACUCAAUUUCAAGUAAAAACUAUGGGGGGUCCUGUGGCACCUUAAAGACUUGAUGUCUGAAUCUUCUCACCUUUCUGGUUUUUUUAGCAAGGACUUAUAAUAAAGUUUUUGCAUAAAGAAAAACUAUGCAGUCCAGUCUGUGUUGAGUGGUUAUAUGAAGGCAUUGAAUUUCAGAAAUAGUCAAAUUAUAUGGUUAUUUUAUUAUACAUGAACAAUUGAAAGACAAAAGUUUGAGACAGUGAGAUAAUCACUAAUAUAUAGCAGACUAUUAUUUUGUUACAGCACAUUCGCAUAGGCCUGGUCUACCCUAAAGGGGGAGGUUGACUUAAAAUACGCAACUCCAGCUACGUUAAUUAUGUAGCUGUAGUCGACACAUCUUAAAUUAUUUUUUUGAGAUGUCAAAACAGCAGGCUCCCAUUGCCUUCCCUUACUCCUCUUGAGGAGCAGGACUACUAGUGCUGAUGGGGGAGCCCUCUCAGUUUAAAUUAGCAGAUCUUCACUAGAUCCGCUAAUUCAAACCCCCAGAAGAUGGACCUCAGCAUCAUUGAUCUUCCACAGAGUAUAGACAUGGCUAUAGAGCCUUGAAUAGAAACUUCUGUAGUUAUUAAAUCGCUCUUUUUUUAAAACAUUUAUAAAGGACAGCUCAGUUUUUCACCUUUUUUGUCAUUUAGGGGCAUUAUUUCCAUUAUCCAGUGCUUAGUCAAAUUACUGUACUUAUUGCUGCUCUAAUUUCAAAUUUUCAUUAGCUUGAAUCUAGCAAUAUGUCCUUGUUUUAAACUGGCACCAUGUUACUACUCUGCAGUUCCAUAGAAUUGAAAUUCAUCUAAAAUGUACCUGUUGUCAGGUUGUUAAUAACAAAGAAUAGCUGCUUCUUAAACAUGCUUGUUGAGCAUAAAACAAAGUUACAAUCCUUGUUUUACAAAUAUUAUUGAACAUGCCAUAAAUAAAAUGUGUGAUUAUACUUUAAAAU